GAUGAACGCUGGCGGCGUGCCUAAUACAUGCAAGUCGAGCGAACAGACGAGGAUCUUGCUCCUCUGACGUUAGCGGCUGACGGGUGAGUAACACGUGGAUAACCUACCUAUAAGACUGGGAUAACUUCGGGAAACCGGAGCUAAUACCGGAUAAUAUAUUGAACCGCAUGGUUCAAUAGUGAAAGACGGUUUUGCUGUCACUUAUAGAUGGAUCCGCGCCGCAUUAGCUAGUUGGUAAGGUAACGGCUUACCAACGCAACGAUGCGUAGCCGACCUGAGAGGGUGAUCGGCCACACUGGAACUGAGACACGGCCCAGACUCCGACGGGAGGCCGCAGUAGGGAAUCUUACGCAAUGGGGGAAAGGCUGACGGAGCAAAGUCGCGUGAGUGAUGAAGGUGUUCGGAUCGUAAAACUCUGUUAUUAGGGAAGAACAAAUGUGUAAGUAGCUAUGCACGUCUUGACGGUACCUGAUCAGAAAGCCACGGCUAACUACGUG
This 497-nucleotide ribosomal RNA is filed under the name uncultured bacterium. Its description in RNAcentral is "partial 16S ribosomal RNA". It matches the Rfam family "Bacterial small subunit ribosomal RNA", at positions 28 to 507 of the family's 1533-position model. The record is from RNAcentral.